Molecule: ribosomal RNA, 467 nt
Filed under: uncultured bacterium
Lineage: Bacteria
Description: partial 16S ribosomal RNA
Rfam family: Bacterial small subunit ribosomal RNA
Source: RNAcentral
GACGAACGCUGGCGGCGUGCUUAACACAUGCAAGUCGAACGGAAAGGCCCUGCUUUUGUGGGGUGCUCGAGUGACGAACGGGUGAGUAACACGUGAGUAACCUGCCCUUGACUUUGGGAUAACUUCAGGAAACUGGGGCUAAUACCGGAUAGGAGCUCCUGCUGCAUGGUGGGGGUUGGAAAGUUUCGGCGGUUGGGGAUGGACUCGCGGCUUAUCAGCUUGUUGGUGGGGUAGUGGCUUACCAAGGCUUUGACGGGUAGCCGGCCUGAGAGGGUGACCGGCCACAUUGGGCCUGAGAUACGGCCCAGACUCCUACGGGAGGCAGGAGUGGGGAAUUUUGCACAAUGGGCGGAAGCCUGAUGCAGCAACGCCGCGUGCGGGAUGACGGCCUUCGGGUGGUAAACCGCUUUCGCCUGUGACGAAGCGUGAGUGACGGUAAUGGGUAAAGAAGCACCGGCUAACUACGU